This is a long non-coding RNA of Pseudophryne corroboree (corroboree frog), 2775 nucleotides long. RefSeq lists it as uncharacterized. The record is from RefSeq and is a predicted model, not a curated record. Lineage: Eukaryota; Metazoa; Chordata; Amphibia; Anura; Myobatrachidae. The transcript has 3 exons.
AUGCGCAAGUCCGGAGGGCCCAGCACCUGCACGGGAGACUUCGGGGGCGGCAGUGUCCGUCUUGCUAGGCACACUGCACAGUGAGAAGGAAGCAGUCUCAAUCAGGGGUGUGCUUCCUGUGGCUGGCCCCUCCCACCACACUCAGAGAGAGAGCUGCGUGUAUGAGGCCAGCAGAAGCUGACCUCUCUCUCUGCUCCUCAGCUCCCACUGCAGCCUUCCCACACUGUCCUGGGGUCGUCCUCCAGUCUGCUCCUAAGAGGAAGGAACAACAUAGCCAGGGUCCCCAUGGUAACUCGGCCGGGCCGAGCGCCGUGACGUCACUUCCGCAUCAUGUGGUACGCAUCAUGUGGUGCGCUGUGGACGCCGGGCUGAGAGCGUGGGAGACGCGGCCGUGGAAGACGCUGGCGGGGAAUCUGAUCAGGGGGCUACUGUCACCAGCUACAAUGAUCCGAAGGGAGUUAGCCCAGCUGCGCUGCUUGGAAAUGGGGGAACAAACCAUAACAUCAGUGAGUCAUGGCUGAGGUCAGGAUGCCGCAGACCAUCCAAUGGUGGACCAUCAUCUGGAAAAGGAAGAGAUGGCCCAUCAUCGAGAAGAGGAAGAAAUGAGCCGAAUGCCAGUGAAAAUCAAGCAGCUGCACUCCUGAGGCUAGAGGAUAUCCUGAGGCCCAUUCUACCCAGUAUUCCCACCUACAGCAGAUGCCUGUUGCAGAAGGAGAGGACGUAAAGUACUGUACAAGCUGCAUGUCUGACAUUGAAGUUGGAAUGGAAAUGGCUGUACCUUCCAUGCCCCUUGCCUGACACAAUGGCUAUAGAUGAACAGCAUUUGUCCUGUGUUCCACACAAGCUGCUUCGAACUGGACAUUUUUUUUAUAGCUUAUCUGAAGGACACCAAAUGGGGGUGGGGGGUAAUUCAGACAUGAUUGCUGCUGUGCGUUUUCACAUAGAGGUCGAUCAGGUCUGUACUGCGCAUGCGUAUGCACCGCAGUGCGCCGGCACAUCGGACGACUGCACUGGGCAUUGGUGCAUACAGCAACGGGAUGGUGCGAAAAAAGGAUCACCAAGGCGAUCACAAGGUGACUGACAGGAAGAGGCCAUCUGUGGGUGGCAACUGACCGUUUUGUAUGAGUGUCCGGGAAAAUGCAGGAGGGACCAGGCGUUUGGAGGGAGGGUUUCUGACGUCAGCUCCGGCCCGGAUCAUCGCAGUGGUUGAAUAAAUCCUGGGCUGAGCAGACAUUGCACAAACUCAUGUUUGUGCAGCUCUGCUACAAAUGCGAUAGAACACCUGCACACAGUAAAUACCCUCCCCAUGUAGGCGGCGACUAAAAAAUGCACCCUAGCGAUCAGGUCUGAAUUACCCCCCAGCAGCAGAAGCAGGGGACCCAACCUAAACAUCAAAAAUAUAUAGCGAAAAAUAUAUAGCGCUGAAAUAUAUGUGUGUGUGUGUGUGUGUGUGUGUGUGUAUACUGUAUCUAUAUAGUAUCCAGUUUAGUUUCUUUUCUGAACACUAAAUAAGAACAUAAUCGAUACAUUUUCUUUAAAUAAAUCUGUCAAUUUAAACUUACAGAAUAUGGGGGGUCAUUCCGAGUUGUUCGCUCGCAAGCUGCUUUUAGCAGCAUUACACAUGCUAAGCCGCCGCCUACUGGGAGUGAAUCUUAGCUUCUUAAAAUUGCGAACGAAAGAUUCGCAAUAUUGCGAUAAGACAUCUCUGUGCAGUUUCUGAGUAACUCGAGACUUACUCGGCAUCUGCGAUCAGUUCAGUGCUUGUCGUUCCUGGUUUGACGUCACAAACACACCCAGCGUUCGCCCAGACACUCCUCCGUUUCUCCAGCCACUCCCGCGUUUUUCCCAGAAACGGUAGCGUUUUUUCACACACACCCAUAAAACACCCACUUCCUGUCAAUCACAUUACGAUCACCAGAACGAAGAAAAAACCGUGAGUAAAAUUCCUAACUGCAUAGCAAAUUUACUUGGCGCAGUCGCAGUGCGAACAUUGCGCAUGCGCACUAAGCGGAAAAUCGCUGCGAUGCGAAGAAAUGUACCGAGCGAACAACUCGGAAUGACCCCCAUAGAGUACAAUGGGGUCUAUUCAUGAAACAGUGAAAAGAGUGGAGAAGUGAGCCAGUCAACAUUGUAUAAUUGCAUACUAUAAAAUUAUACAGAGAGGCUGAUUGGUUGCCAUGGACAACUUCUCCACUGGCUCACUUCUCCCCACUUUUCACUGCUUCAUGAGUAGACCUCAGUAUUACAUUCACUGCUGUCACCCUUCUCUGAGGUGACACAUGCAUCAGAACUGGCAAGAUUACAACCGUCACCUGAUUCAUGUUUGUAAGUAAAGCAAAAAAGCAAGCAACUGGGCUAACACAUGUUUCAUUGCAGGUGGUGAAGAUGUAAUAUGUUCAGACAGAUUUAGAUUUGGGUGGGGUGUGUUCAAUCUGAAAUCUAAAUUGCAGUGUAAAAAUAAAGCUGUCUAACACCCACCCCCUCUACAAAAAAAACAAAACAAAAAAAACACACAUUAGGCAGCCACCUAUUGGGUGUGUUGGAAGAGCUGCUAAGCUUCUACUUACUUUUUAAAAUGUUGACAGUUACAUCCAACUCAUUGAUAACAUAAGUACAUACAAAUUUCAAAUGAAAUUCUCUAGCUUUCUAUGUAAGGACAGAUAGAUUCAUGAACAGAGUGUGUGACUGCAAUGCCACAUGUAGUGGGUAAGAAACCUGGGUAUCAGUGGCGUCACAAGGUGGGUGUGAGGAGUGCGGCCCGCACCCGGGUGUCAC